UGCGUUCGUUCAUUCGUUGACGGUAUUUAACCUCAAAUCUAAUUCAAUGUAUCGCAAUGUACCUAAGUGGCGAACUAAAUAUGCAAUUUAUCUAAAGUUCCCAGAAGUCAUUAAUUCAACACGUAAUUACCUACACAUUGUGACAUAACCUAUGGAAGUAAGGUGGAUAUUUAUGUGAUGUACCUGUACAACUAUUCUCUAAAUCCGAUCCCGAUGUAUCAAUUAUGUCUGCAGAAAUUGUUACACAGCUGCCAAAUGGAAUACAAUAUUUUGUUUCGCAUACAUAAUCUAAUUUUUCAAAGACUUCGUUACGCUUCUCCGACCUGCAUCCAAGAAGUUUCUUCCUCUUUUAGAAACGAAGUUUAAGCAAUGAAAGCAUAGUUUUAUUGCAAAUUUAAGGGCAAGGGGUGUUUUUUAUUAGUUAACGUACAUAUUGUAGCCAUCUAUUUAAGUAAUUUGGUCAAUGCCUAGUAUGUAAGACCUGUUACGAAUUAUCAAUUCUUAAAUAAAUCAUGCAAAACGGUGGUUAAGUGCUA
Long non-coding RNA from Photinus pyralis (common eastern firefly), 536 nucleotides. RefSeq lists it as uncharacterized. Lineage: Eukaryota; Metazoa; Arthropoda; Insecta; Coleoptera; Lampyridae. The transcript has 2 exons. The record is from RefSeq and is a predicted model, not a curated record.